This is a non-coding RNA of Spinacia oleracea (spinach), 84 nucleotides long. Lineage: Eukaryota; Viridiplantae; Streptophyta; Magnoliopsida; Caryophyllales; Amaranthaceae. The record is from Rfam.
AAAGGCCGGUGAUGAUCUUUUCGAUAAUUUGCCUACAUUGUAUGAUUUUACAGUGAUAAAAAAAUAUCCAAAUCUGAGGCCUUU